Molecule: ribosomal RNA, 253 nt
Filed under: uncultured bacterium
Lineage: Bacteria
Description: partial 16S ribosomal RNA
Rfam family: Bacterial small subunit ribosomal RNA
Source: RNAcentral
UACGGAGGAGGCAAGCGUUAUCCGGAAUUAUUGGGCGUAAAGCGUCCGUAGGUGGCUCUUCAAGUUUGCUGUCAAAGAGUGGGGCUUAACUCCAGAAAGGCAGUGGAAACUGAAAGGCUAGAGAGCCGUAGGGGUAGAGGGAAUUCCCGGUGUAGCGGUGAAAUGCGUAGAGAUCAGGAAGAACAUCGGUGGCGAAGGCGCUCUGCUGGACCAUAACUGACACUCAGGGACGAAAGCUAGGGGAGCGAAUGGG